This 164-nucleotide ribosomal RNA is filed under the name Arctium triflorum. Its description in RNAcentral is "5.8S ribosomal RNA". It matches the Rfam family "5.8S ribosomal RNA". Rfam says of the family: 5.8S ribosomal RNA (5.8S rRNA) is a component of the large subunit of the eukaryotic ribosome. RNAcentral also lists the same sequence under 1 other name. Lineage: Eukaryota; Viridiplantae; Streptophyta; Magnoliopsida; Asterales; Asteraceae. The record is from RNAcentral.
AAACGACUCUCGGCAACGGAUAUCUCGGCUCACGCAUCGAUGAAGAACGUAGCAAAAUGCGAUACUUGGUGUGAAUUGCAGAAUCCCGUGAACCAUCGAGUUUUUGAACGCAAGUUGCGCCCGAAGCCAUUCGGCCAAGGGCACGUCUGCCUGGGCGUCACGCA